CAGAGAUUUCUGCCCGGAAGACGGCAGUGGUUUGGGGGUGCCGGUGCUCAUCGCGCUGCUGUUGUUUGAUCGUGCAGUGACCAUGAGGAGGUUACCCCAUGUGACUCUACCCUCCCUAACAACCGGACCAAUUCGGUUGCUUAGGAGACCUGGCUGGAUUCACUCAGCGCGUCCUGGAUUCUAACUCACGACUCCAGAUACAUGCAGAAGAAGAACACUUCCGUCCAUGUGCGAGCAAUGUGGAGCUACACGCUUGUAUGAGACAGUCUAGUGACGUGAUGCAUCAACAUGUGUGGGAGAUUAUCAAAAUUUGUUCUGACUCUGAUUAUUCACAACAUAUUUUUUUACAGCACAUCCUUCAAAAACACGGGGAGGGUGUGGAGAGCGACCAAUCAGGAUACACUCUCUGUCACUCAUGCUGCGUCUGAAGACGCCACCCAUCGCAUUUUCUGAGCACAUCGCCACCUACUGGGCAAUAAGGAGAAUUUAUAGUAAAAAGGACUUAAAGUUUUGGAUCCUGUAGACUUGCAUUGAAUGGACCAACAGAGCUAAGAUAUUCUUCUAAAAAAAUUAUUUUGUGUUCAGCUAAAGAAAGAAAGUUGUACACAUCUGGGAUGGCAUGAGGAUUCAGAUGUGAAAAGGAAAGUCUUCCUUGGUUUGUUAUAUCCAGAAGGAUUCAUGAUGAAUGCAGACUGCACCA
This is a long non-coding RNA of Xyrauchen texanus (razorback sucker), 700 nucleotides long. RefSeq lists it as uncharacterized. Lineage: Eukaryota; Metazoa; Chordata; Actinopteri; Cypriniformes; Catostomidae. The transcript is spliced from 8 exons. The record is from RefSeq and is a predicted model, not a curated record.